GGCCCGGUAGCUCAGUGGAUAGAGCGCUUGCCUACGAAGCAAGUUGUCGCGCGUUCGAGUCGCGCCCGGGUCA
Molecule: transfer RNA, 73 nt
Filed under: Chloroflexota bacterium
Lineage: Bacteria; Bacillati; Chloroflexota
Also listed under: 3 other names
Description: Chloroflexi bacterium tRNA-Arg
Rfam family: tRNA
About the family: Transfer RNA (tRNA) molecules are approximately 80 nucleotides in length.
Source: RNAcentral